GGGGAAUAUUGGACAAUGGGCGAAAGCCUGAUCCAGCAAUGCCGCGUGAGUGAUGAAGGCCUUAGGGUUGUAAAGCUCUUUUACCAGGGAUGAUAAUGACAGUACCUGGAGAAUAAGCUCCGGCUAACUCCGUGCCAGCAGCCGCGGUAAUACGGAGGGAGCUAGCGUUGUUCGGAAUUACUGGGCGUAAAGCGCACGUAGGCGGCUAUUCAAGUCGGGGGUGAAAGCCCGGGGCUCAACCCCGGAACUGCCCUCGAAACUAGGUAGCUAGAAUCUUGGAGAGGUCAGUGGAAUUCCGAGUGUAGAGGUGAAAUUCGUAGAUAUUCGGAAGAACACCAGUGGCGAAGGCGACUGACUGGACAAGUAUUGACGCUGAGGUGCGAAAGCGUGGGGAGCAAAC
RNAcentral lists this ribosomal RNA (400 nucleotides) under uncultured bacterium. RNAcentral's name for it is "bacterial SSU rRNA". It matches the Rfam family "Bacterial small subunit ribosomal RNA", at positions 356 to 773 of the family's 1533-position model. The record is from RNAcentral.